AACGAACGCUGGCGGCAUGCCUAACACAUGCAAGUCGAACGAGACCUUCGGGUCUAGUGGCGCACGGGUGCGUAACGCGUGGGAACCUGCCCUUAGGUUCGGAAUAACUCCCCGAAAGGGGUGCUAAUACCGGAUAAUGUCUUCAGACCAAAGAUUUAUCGCCUUUGGAUGGGCCCGCGUUGGAUUAGCUAGUUGGUAGGGUAAAAGCCUACCAAGGCGACGAUCCAUAGCUGGUCUGAGAGGAUGAUCAGCCACACUGGGACUGAGACACGGCCCAGAACCCUAGGGAAGGGAGAAAGGGGGAAAAAGGAAAAAGGGGGGAAAGCUGAACCCAAAAAGGCCGGGUGAGUAAGGAAGGCCUUAGGGUUAUAAGGGUUUUUAACCGGGGAAAAAAAGAAGAGAACGGGGAAAAAAAGCCCGGGUAAAUCCGGG
RNAcentral lists this ribosomal RNA (432 nucleotides) under uncultured bacterium. RNAcentral's name for it is "partial 16S ribosomal RNA". It matches the Rfam family "Bacterial small subunit ribosomal RNA", at positions 30 to 507 of the family's 1533-position model. The record is from RNAcentral.